AAAGCAAGAAAGAAAGAAAGAAACCGCAAAUCUUCUGUCGUUUUAGCUACACAAACGGCAAACCUAAAAAAAAUCAAGAAAACGACACGUCGUUCUCCUUCCCCGCAUAAUCAUCCCCAUUUCCCAGUGUGGCAGUUAAAAAGCCAAGAGCGCGUUGUGGCAUUGAAUGUAUGCGUCCAUACCAUACCGCGAAACCCAACCGCUGACCGUCGCUCCGGCAAUGUGGCCGGAACUCCAAUAAUCUCCGUCGUCCCACUUCUACCCCCGACAAUGCCUCACGCCAAAACCUCCCAAUCGCAGCAGAACAUAAAGCAGAGGGUACUCACGUGCCUAACGAAGCUCUCAGACCGCGACACACAAGCCGCUGGAGCCACCGAGCUCGAGUCCAUCGCGCGUACCAUAGACCCACACUCGGUUCCAGUGUUCCUCUCUUGCAUCCACUCCACCGACUCCUCCGACAAAACCCCCGUCCGCAAGCAAUGCGUGCACCUCGUCGCCACCCUCUCCCACGCGCACGGCGACGCGCUCUCGCCGUUUCUGUCCAAAAUCAUCGCCUGCCUCGUCCGCCGCCUCCGCGACCCGGACUCCUCGGUCCGGGCCGCGUGCGCCGACUCCGUCGGCGCACUCUCGGCGUGCGUCACGAGGCAGCCUUUCGCCGCCGCGUUCCUCAAGCCGCUCGCGGAGGCGCUUUUCACGGAGCAGGACCCGAGCUCGCAGGCUGGAGCCGCGCUAUGUCUGGCCUCCGCGGUUGAAGCGGCUCCGGAUCCGGACCCUGCCAGGCUUGCGAGGCUGCUUCCGAGGCUUGAGAGGCUGAUCAAGAGCAAGGUGUUUAGGGCUAAGCCUGCACUGCUGGUGCUUGUUGGAAGCGUCGUCGAGGCGCGCGGCGCCUCUAGUGGCGUCGCGUUGAAGAAUUUGGUUCCUUGCCUUGUGGAGGCUCUGGGGAGUGAGGACUGGGCCACCAGGAAGGGCGCGGCGGAGGCGUUGAAGAAGCUCGCGAGCGUGGAGAAGGACCUCUUGCCGGAGUUCAAGGGUGGAUGCUUGAAGGUUUUCGAGAAUCGGCGAUUUGAUAAGGUAAAGUUGGUUCGGGAGGUUAUGAAUGAGAUGUUGGAGGCAUGGAAGCAGAUUCCUGAUGUUUCGGAUGAAUUCUCUCCACCUCCUCAAUCGCAGUUGUCUUCAAAGGAGAAUGCAAGUGAUGGGCGCUAUCCUCCUGUCUCUCAAAAUUCAUGUAGUCCGGGUUCUGUAAUGAGUAAAUUGAGGAAGAAGUCGAGCCAAGUUAGCAAAUCAACUCCACCAGAUACAUCUGCUGUUAGGAAUGCUAAAAGGAGUGCAUUAAGUGGCGAUCGGAUGAGUUCAGGUGUUCUGCAGAAACUGAACCAUAACCAUUGGGAUGUUCGAAUUGCUGUGUCAAAUGUUUCUGAUUGUGGUGAACGUCAGCAGAAGGAUGAAGAUGUUUUGGAAAGAAGAAAAAAGGAUAGAAGCAGAUUUUUUAAGCCGGAAACAAAACGGGCUCUAUUCGAUAAAAAUUCUGAUGACAAGAUGCAUAAAUUUGGUGGGUCCAAAGCUGGAUCUCGUGUGGUUCCUUGUUCUGAAGAGAGUCAAGACUCAGAUCCUGUCUGUAAUGUAACUAAGGAUCUACAUAGGAAUGACAAAGAGAGUGAGGAAUUAUCUUUGAUUCGUGCUCAAUUAGUUCAAAUUGAGAAGCAGCAGUCUAGUCUGCUUGAUCUUGUACAGAAAUUCAUGGGGAGCUCUGAAAAUGGAAUGCGUACUUUAGAGACUCGUGUGCAUGGCCUUGAGUUGGCAUUGGAUGAGAUCUCUUAUGAUUUGGCUGUAUCAAGUGGAAGGAUAACUAAGUUUGAUGCUCCUAAGCAUACUUGUUGCAUGCUGCCUGGUGCUGAAUUUUUAAGCUCCAAAUUCUGGAAGAAAACACAGGGCCGAUAUUCAUCGUACCGGUUCUCUAGAACUGGUAGCACUCCAUUACUACCUUCCAGUCAUUACAGAGCUAACAGGAAUGCCGAAUCUAAUAGGUCGACAAGCCACAGACUUGGGGUCCACGGUGAUGGAGGCUUCACCACUAAUCCUCUGGCAGAGAUUAAAAUUAAUUCAAGGGAGAUUUCAGGCUCUGCCAGAUCAGAGCUAGCUUGAAAAGCAGGUAUAGCACAAGAAUUUUCUAGACUCGUUACUUCCUUUAGAACUUGCAUGCCAAAUUUUGAGGAAAACAUGGCCAACAUUCAUCUUCCUAACUCUCUGUCUGGUGGCACACCAUAACUACAUGUCAUUCGCUAUAGAUGUCAGGAAUGCUGAAACUAAGCUCACAAGUAUAGAUUAAGGGUACAUGAUGAUGGAGAGCUUCAUCACUAAAAUUCAGAUUAAUACUAAUUCAAGACAGAUAUCAUUCCUUUCGAGGACAGAACCUAUUUAAAAAAUCAAAGUUUGAUCUUCUGAUUAUCAACUUGCAUGGUGGGAAAUCCCUCUUCCUGAGAAGUGUGGCAAUGAUGUAAUCAGAAUAUAUACUUUUUAUGCCAGGAAAUAUCGUAUAUUUGGAAAAUACCCAGUAGUACUCUACUCUCUUGGAAGAAGGAGAAGCUGGCUAUAAUACAUUCUAGGUUGUGCUCAGAACAUUAUUUGGGUUGCUACGCUGACUGUGAGGCAGGAACAUAUUGCAGUGAGUAUAGGGCUAAAUAUUACUAUUUUCAGUAGAGGGUGAAUCUGUACAUAGGAGAAACAAUGUAACACAGGCUGCUUACUUUGUGUUUGGAAAUACGUUUGAAAGACGAAAAAUCACGACAGAUGGGAUAAAGAUGCACAAGCUACAACUAGAAAACUUCAAUCCGGAUGUGUAAAAUUGCAUCAUGUAUGGCUGCAAACGCGUGAUAUGUUGAUGAUUAAGUGCAUGUUUGUUUCUCCAUUGCGUCAGGUCCAAUCUGCAUCAUAUAGAAGCUAAUACGAGUAGCUUUUGCAUGUUAGAUGUGGUUUUUGCAUAAUAAUGCGAGUAAAACAUGUUUCCAAUCUUUGCAUAUUACGUGCAAGUGUGUCAGAAAUGUUGAUCGUAUUGGUCUAAUGUAAGCUGAGGUUUUUUUGCCCAUCAA
This is an RNA transcript of Glycine soja, 3086 nucleotides long. It is a transcript of the gene named TORTIFOLIA1-like protein 3, with no coding region annotated. The transcript is spliced from 6 exons. NCBI's taxonomy places the organism in Eukaryota, Viridiplantae, Streptophyta, Magnoliopsida, Fabales, Fabaceae. The record is from RefSeq and is a predicted model, not a curated record.